CUCCAUCAAUUCUCGAAGUGUGCUAAAGGAAAUUAUCCUUGUGGUACGUUACAGAUAAGCAGGAAGGACUGGCAGGAGAUGAAUUGCUCUGAAGCGUAGCUGGGCUUAUCAGAUCCCCUUUGCCACUUCUGAAGUAGCACAGGUCCAUAUUUCCCGUGGUGAGCCAAGGUGUUCCCAGCUGUGUCCUCAGCUGUUACAGCUAGGACCCCAGAGAUAAAGAGCGGGAGCAGAGCUCUCAGAGGAAAGGCAAAGGUGACUUGGCACCUCCAUGUGUUGCUGACUGAAAUGGAGGCAAAACUGCUUAUUAAACAACCAGAAUUUGCAGUUUCCAUCUGCCCCAAGCUGGACUUCGGGCUAGAGGUGUAGCUGCAGGCUGCUGAUCUCCUAAGAAGCACAGGAUUUGGGGUCUGUCUGUGCCACAGUACCAAGAGGUUGUUUAUCUCUUUCUGGGAAGGUUUUAACCCAAGACUUAUAAUCCUGUGCAAUAGUGUCAGCCUCAGAAAACGGAUGCAACAGCUAAGCCACAGUCAUAGACAAGGUAUGAUUGUUGUCUACUAUUUCAUUGGUUUUGGC
Taeniopygia guttata (zebra finch) is the source of this 573-nucleotide long non-coding RNA. The record is from Ensembl. NCBI's taxonomy places the organism in Eukaryota, Metazoa, Chordata, Aves, Passeriformes, Estrildidae.